Molecule: ribosomal RNA, 462 nt
Filed under: uncultured bacterium
Lineage: Bacteria
Description: bacterial SSU rRNA
Rfam family: Bacterial small subunit ribosomal RNA
Source: RNAcentral
AUACGGGAGGCAGCAGUGGGGAAUAUUGGACAAUGGGCGAAAGCCUGAUCCAGCAAUACCGCGUGUGUGAAGAAGGCCUGAGGGUUGUAAAGCACUUUCAAUGGGAAGGAAUACCUACCGGCCAAUACCCGGUAGACUGACAUUACCCAUACAAGAAGCACCGGCUAACUCCGUGCCAGCAGCCGCGGUAAUACGGAGGGUGCAAGCGUUAAUCGGAAUUACUGGGCGUAAAGCGUGCGUAGGCGGUUGUUUAAGUCAGAUGUGAAAGCCCCGGGCUUAACCUGGGAACUGCAUUUGAUACUGGACGACUAGAGUUUAGUAGAGGGGAGUGGAAUUUCAGGUGUAGCGGUGAAAUGCGUAGAGAUCUGAAGGAACACCAGUGGCGAAGGCGGCUCCCUGGACUAAAACUGACGCUGAGGUACGAAAGCGUGGGUAGCAAACAGGAUUAGAUACCCCGGUAGA